AUAUAGAAGAAGGAGAAGGAGAAGAGAGAAUAGUUAGUGUUAAAAUAGCGUGUCUGCUCAAAACAAGACAAAAAAAGGACAAGCAGCACAUGAUGGCUUUGAUAAACUUUUAUUAAGCAAAUCCCAUUUCUAUUAGAUUCACGCAUUUUUUUAAGGGACUCCAAACAGUGCCAAACAGAGAGCUAUCACUUCCUUUGAAGGAAGAGAUCUGUGUUAGAGACAGAGAUAGAAAAACAGAGAAAAGAGAUCUGUAAGCUAGUGUUUGGUGUUUGGCAUUUACUCCUAAAACACGCGAUUCCUUUCAUGGAUUACUAUCACAAGACUUUCUUCUUUUUUAUAUGACUUUAUUUUCUCUCUCCGUGUUCAUAAAAUACGGAAGUGUUUGUAUUCAACAGUGCUCUCCUUUGGAUCUCUGUGUGGCAUUUGUGCUAUCUAGUUGAAAAUACGGGCUGUUUGUUUGUGUUCUAUCUCUGCAAAUGCUUGUUUAAGGUGAUUAGUGGGUGUUUUAGUGCUCGAUUUGGGCAAUUAUGAUGGAAGAAUUUGAAGAACCCUAUAGCAUUAGCUUUCAGACAGAUUCUUUGCACUCUGGCUCCAUAUCAUUUGGAAGAUUUGAAAGAGAAGACUUAUCUUGGGAAAGGAGGUCAUCUUUCUCUCACAAUAGAUAUCUUGAAGAGGUUGAGAAAUGCUCAAAACCAGGUUCAGUUAUCGAGAAGAAAGCUUAUUUUGAAGCCCAUUUCAAGCAAAAGGGUAUGCAACUACCAGCUUCUUUUGGGGGGCAAAAUGGGAUAGAAUACCAUGGUGAAAAUGCUGUUUUUGAAAAUGUGGGCCACAAAGAAGAAGAUGAUAAUGCAAAUGGAAGUAGCAAUUAUACUCAGUUUGAGGAGGGUGCACUUGAGAAUGUGGAAUAUGCAGAAUUUUACGAUGGAUAUGCAAGAGGUCAAUUUGAUCAUGCAAAUGAUAGCGGCCAAUAUGCUCACUUUGAUGACAGCCCUGAAGGGUCAGAGUAUUGUGGAGAAUGCCAGGUGAUGGAAUGUGAAAGAGAAGAUCCUGAAUCUCAGAUUGAAGCUUCUUCAGUCAAUGCUAAUGUUUUUGUAGAAGGUGUCUUUGAAGACAUUAAACCUCAAGAAGCACAUCAAACUGUAACUGGACCUGACAAUAAUGAAAGACAAGAAAUAGGAAUAAAGGAGAACCUUAAUGACAAUGCUGCUAAUGUGGACACGUCAUCUAGGCCUUUUGACCCAUCCCCAAAAAGUGGAACACUUGGGAGUGAUAAAACUACUGCAGUACAUCAGCAAAAUCUUUCUCCAAAGUUGCGAGUUCCAAUGGAAAGUAAACAUAGCGAGCCCAGAUUGAAGUCCCAGGCUAAUGCCAAUCAAGUCCAGAAAGCCAAUCAAAAUGAUGCAUUAAAAACAACUGUGAAGAAGCUAAAUUGGAGGGAAAGAGAGAGUCCACAAAGAAUGAAAUCAGAAAAGCAUUCACCACAAGCUGCCAUUCCAACCAGAUGCAUGCUGCUCAGAACUCUGAAAGGAGAGGAUUCUGAAAUUUGUAAUUCAAGAUCAAAUCUUGCAAAUAAAAGUGACAGAGAACCAAAGAUCAAGAAAGUAGUUGAAUCUGAAAGCUCUGGAUCAAAGAAAGUUGAACCUAGAACACGUCAGAGCGCUAACAGAUUUAAGCAGACUGUUAGCUCAGAUAAGCCAGACACAAGGACAAGCACUGCAGCUUUCAAUUUCAGAAGUGAUGAACGAGCAGAAAGGAGGAAAGAGGCAAGCAAGUUUGCUAUUGUUUCAAAUAUAAAUUUUUUAAAGUUUAGGGAACUUAUUAAAUGCUUUCCUUUUUUAAAGUUUAGUUCUACAUGAAGUUGGAAGAAAAAAUGCACGCAAAGGAAACUGAGAUGAAUCAGAUUCAAGCAAAAACACAAGUAAGUGGAAUCUUCCAAUAACUGUCUUUUGUCACCAUCUCUAAAGUUUAUUGAAAAUUCUGUUCUGGCCUACUUCAUUAUGUCAAAAGAAGGCUGGUAUGAGUUUCAAACUCAAUGCUUCUAAAAGUAGUGCCAAAAUAUUAACAUUAUUAUGAAACUUCGAGUUUAGUGCCAAAAAAAUCCCUUAAGUAGUGUAAGGUUAUAAUGGAUUAAAUAGCAUCCACUCAUACAUCAAUUUUUAGAAACCAUUACUUCUAUUGUUUAAUUCGUAUGAGUUAAUGGAAUGAUGUUGUUGAAGGAAAAGACUGAGGCUGAGAUUAAACAAUUCCGGAAAAGCCUUAAUUUCAAAGCAAUACCUAUGCCUUCUUUCUAUCAUGCUGCUGCAUCACCAGGUUCCAAUGGAAACAAGGCCACAUCAUCUAAAACCAAACCAGCUAAAAUACAACAGAAGCCAGUAAGUCCAGGAAGUGGAGCCGCUUCAAGAUCACAAUUGUUUUCCAAGUCAGGAAAUAACCAUGCUGUCUCUGCUGUAGAACCUGUAAACACAAGCAAUCUGCCUGAGUCCUUAGGGCCAACUGAUUGCCAUGCAAUAGCACCUUCUGAAGCUGGUGAAAGGGAAACCCUAGCAAGAAACAACAGCAGCCACCCAGAAGCUGCACUGAAAAAUGGUUGCGCUGGCAAAGACUUGGAGAAAGUGAAGAAUACCAAUUUGCAAAGACAUAAAGUGUCAGAGAAUGGUAAAGUGUCAAAGGACCAGAGGGUUGAGGGCAGGCCAAAAAUGGGAAACCGAAGAAAUAGCAGUGAGAUGGUGAGGAAAAGUAUCAAGGGUGUUGGAAUUGGCAGCAAUUCCGGAGUGGGUCGUGUAGCUGUUGGUGUAGCCUCCUGAUCUGAGUUAUGUUCUCCACUGGCUGAAAGAUGCUAUCUUAGUUGCCUGUGAUGGUAUGUUUUGCAUGCUCCCUGCUGUAUUAAUAGAAGUGCAAGGGAAAUGGUGGUGGGAUCAGGCAAUGUCCCACGUAAAUCUCAACAUAUUACAAUGGGCUGUGUGGAGAUAGCAUUUCCCUUGUGUCAUUGCUUAGCAUAUGUGUUGCAGGUAUUGUACCAUGUGGAUGGAAUAGGUAAAUAAUAAUGGUGGCUUGAUCACGGGAAUUGUUGAAAUUGAAGGUUCUCUUGCCGGAGUCAUAUAUGAAAACAGCAACGGGAGUUUCAAGUCUUGUGAAGUAUUUAUUAUCUAAUAAUAAAAGUAUCUUGCGUCUGGUAGUAUGUAUGAUACUUGUCAAGCAUAUGAAUGUAGACAAAGACUGCAAAAAUUUUAAUGUAAAAAAUUAUGCAAUUAAUUUCAUAAACAAGACUUAGAUAUAUGUUAUUUGAGAUCCCAGGACCCAGGGGGGCUUUUACUAUGGUUACCACAAUUUUUAGCCAUCAUCGGGAAACGGUGGCAGGUGUUGUUUUGGUAGAAAUGGUGAUGUUCAUUGGCAGUGGAGGAUGCUUUUAUUGUUUUACCGUUUAGAAGUUUUUAUGUUUUUCAAAUUAUUAUAUACUUUUGAUAUAUAUGUACCAUCUCUCUUAAUGUGAGCUCCUUCAGAUUCAUAGAAAAACUGAAUUUAUGCAAGUAUUUG
Molecule: unclassified non-coding RNA, 3534 nt
Filed under: Hevea brasiliensis (rubber tree)
Lineage: Eukaryota; Viridiplantae; Streptophyta; Magnoliopsida; Malpighiales; Euphorbiaceae
Source: RNAcentral